This 497-nucleotide ribosomal RNA is filed under the name uncultured bacterium. Its description in RNAcentral is "partial 16S ribosomal RNA". It matches the Rfam family "Bacterial small subunit ribosomal RNA", at positions 28 to 507 of the family's 1533-position model. The record is from RNAcentral.
GAUGAACGCUGGCGGCGUGCCUAAUACAUGCAAGUCGAGCGAACGGACGAGGAGCUUGCUUCUCUGAUGUUAGCGGCGGAGGGGUGAGUAACACGUGGAUAACCUACCUAUAAGACUGGGAUAACUUCGGGAAACCGUAGCUAAUACCGGAUAAUAUUUUGAACCGCAUGGUUCAAAAGUGAAAGACGGUCUUGCUGUCACUUAUAGAUGGAUACGGGCUGCAUUAGCUAGUUGGUAAGGUAAAGGCUUACGAAGGCAACGAUGCAUAGCCGACGUGAGGGAGUGAUAGGCGACCUGGGAACGGAGACACGGUCCAGACUCCUACGAGAGGCAGCAGUAGGGAAUCUGCCGCAGUGGGCGAAAGCCUGACGGAGCAACGCGGAGUGAGUGAUGGAAGCCUCCGGAUCGGAAUACUCUGUUACUAGGGAAGAACAGAUGUGUAAGGAACUGUGCACUUCGUGACGGUACCGAGUAAGAAAGCAACGGCUAACUACGUG